Colossoma macropomum (tambaqui) is the source of this 2241-nucleotide long non-coding RNA. RefSeq lists it as uncharacterized. The record is from RefSeq and is a predicted model, not a curated record. The transcript is spliced from 5 exons. NCBI's taxonomy places the organism in Eukaryota, Metazoa, Chordata, Actinopteri, Characiformes, Serrasalmidae.
UGCUGUAGAAAAAAGAACACAUACAUGUUAGCUAGCUUUUUUUAGUGAAAUACAUUCUUCUACUUUCUAAAACUAAGGGAAAGGAGUGCAAGGAGCGCAGAGAGCGAGAGAGAAAGCUGAAAGAGGGCAGUCAGACAACUGCUGACGAGGUUCUUUCAGAGUGCCAAACUGUAAAUGUGUUGCAGUAAGAUUAAAGCAUCGCUGUUGAAACUGACCAUCGAUGAAAGGCUAGAGGAUGGCUAACACAAACUAACAGACAUGGUGGUUGGUGAAGCGCAGCGCCCACUACUUUUCCUCUUUCUUUAAGUGGAUCUUGACCACUCCAACAUGCCAGACGCGCUGACAUAUCGCUGCCGCUCAGGAAUGACAGAUGGCAAGAUGGCGGCGGCUCUAUACCAGGCCUCUUUACUGAAAGAGUCACUGUAGACCUGCUACAAGUGGUGACGGAGAUGGCAGCUGGAUGCUUCUCCUUGCUCUAUCUAUAUCCAUGCUGACAGGAGGGACUAAUAAGGACCUGCUGAAUACAGCUGGUGAAAGGGGUCUAAGUACAAACACAUUUAAUCUUAAAGGAGACAGUAAACUUACCACAUUGUGGAGCAGUCAAAGUUCACUAACAGCCAUUUAUGUGGGUUAAAGUUGAAGGAGUCUGCAAACUAAAAAAAUAAACAUUUCAAUAAAUGACUUAAAUCAGCUGCUUAUGUUAGUUAUAUGUUUCAUUGUCAUAUUGUCCAAACACCAUGCACUUUAUUAGAAAUCCAUACUUUGUACCUCCACUAUAAGGAAGGUUCCUUAUGAGCUGCACCUUACUUAUAGUUCCACUAUACAGUGAUGUUAAAAGGUCUGUGAACCCUUUAGCAUUUUAUGAAUUUCUGCAGAGGUUUAAGUGAAAUAUGAUCAUAAAAAUUAAACCGAAUACACAAAUCCAGUAUUAAAAGGCUUUGCUGGACAGAGUAUGUGAACCUCUAGAAGUAUCAGUUUGGUUUCGUGGAUAUCAAGAGUCAAGAGGUUCAUUCAGUUGGAUACAAAACCAGCCCUACCUUUAAAACAUCAACCUGAGUAUUCAUUAUCAAAGUCUGGUCUUCACCGUAUAUGUUUGUGAGAGCACGUCAUGGCUUGGUGAAAAGACAUUUCUGAGUAUCUCAGAAAAACAGUUGUUAAUGCUCAACAGACUAAAAGAGGCUACAAAACAAGUUCUGAAUAGUUUAGAUUUCUCCAGUCCACAGGCAGAUAAAUGGAGAAAAUUCUACACCUCUGCUACCCUCCCCAGAAUUAGUCAUUCAACAAAAAUCACUCCAAGACCAAUGCAUAUAAUACUCUGGGAGAUCACAAAGAACCAUAGGGAUCUGCAGACCUCUCUUACAUUGUCAGUCAGUGUUUAUGAGUCCACCAACAGUGAACAAGAACAUUGUGUAUGGAAUUGUAACAGGAGGAGGGCAUUACUCUCCAAAAACAUUUCUGUGAGUUGAAAGUUUCCUAAAUAUCACCCAUGUGAGCCAGAAGACUACUGAAAUAAAGUUAUGCAGACUGAUGAAAAAUAGAACUUCAUGGCAUAAAUUAGAAACCUUCUGUUUGGCAAAAACUAAAAACAUCGUUCCAGCAUCAGAACCUCAUCCCUUCAUACCAGGCAUGAAGUAUGGUGGUGGUAGUACCAUAGUUUGAGUGUGUUUUGCUGCCAUUGGACCAGGCAAACUUUUGUACUAUGAAUUCUGGAUUGUAUCAGCAAGUUGUACAAGAGACCGUCUGCGAGCAGCAGCGCAACAGGAGGGAGGUCUUGCAGCAAGACAAUGACCCUUCAAAUGACACACAUUUAAGGCUACAAAAGAAUGGUUAAAGCAGAAGUUUCACGUUCUAGAAUGUCCAGAUCUUAAGCAUGAAGUUUUUGCAAGCAAGCCUGCAAACAUCACUGAGUUAAAUCAUUCUGUAAGAAGGAAUGGGACAAAAUUCCUCCAAGUCAAUAUGUGGGACUGCUCAAGAGUCAUUGCUGCUCAGAGAGGUUAUACUAGUUACUGAAAGCAGAGGUUCACACAAUUGUCCAGUGGUGACAUUUAGUAUUGGAUCACUUUGUUAAAUAAACAAAUGAACAAGUAUAUUCUUUAUGUUGUUUGUUUUAUUGGGUGCUUUAUGAAUUUGGUAAAGACCUGAUUACAUUUUAGGUCAGAUUUAUACAAAAAUUGUUUCUAGCACCACUCUACAGGUGUGCAGUUACAGACUGUAGCCCAUCUGUUGAUGUACAACUUGUCA